Molecule: transfer RNA, 73 nt
Filed under: Dichanthelium oligosanthes
Lineage: Eukaryota; Viridiplantae; Streptophyta; Magnoliopsida; Poales; Poaceae
Rfam family: tRNA
About the family: Transfer RNA (tRNA) molecules are approximately 80 nucleotides in length. Their secondary structure includes four short double-helical elements and three loops (D, anti-codon, and T loops).
Source: Rfam by way of RNAcentral
UCCAUUUUAGUCUAGCUGGUUAGGAUACUUGGCUCUCACCCGAGAGACCUGGGUUUGAGUCCCGGCGACAGAA